This 1211-nucleotide long non-coding RNA is filed under the name Gallus gallus (chicken). Lineage: Eukaryota; Metazoa; Chordata; Aves; Galliformes; Phasianidae. The record is from RNAcentral.
CGGGGCCAGAAAGACGCGCGGGGCGGCCGAGCGGUCCCCGCGACCCUUCGCUGGGGGGGCAUCCGGGUGUGCGGGGAUAUCCGCCGUGGGGGUGUUUGCUGUGCGGUGGGGACAGGUGAGGAUGUCUAAAAUGGGGACAUCCAUCCGAAGGGACAUCCGCCGUGGGGACAUCUGGCAUGGGGUCGCCCCCCUCGAGGGGCAGCCAUGGGGGUAUCUGCGCGGGGACAUCUGCUGCGGGACAGUGGCCGUGGGGACAUUGCUGCCAUGCGACCACAGGGAUCAGUACGGUGGAUGGACGUUGUGGUGCAGAGACCUCCGGGUGUGGGGCACAUCUGUUACGGGAUCAUCUGCCCACACGGACAUCCACAGCGAGGAAAAAUCCAGCGUGGGGACGUCUGCCCAUCGGGGACGGACAUCCUGGGAACAGAGGCGUCCUGCUGGGAGGGGACAUCUGCCCAUGGGGUGCAUCCACGUGUGAGGACCGCCAUCACGGAGCGGUGACACGGCGGCACAGGGACGGGUCCCAGCCCUGAGUCACGUCCUGUGGGGCCAAUGACACCAUUUGGGAAGUGAAACAGCCGCGGGAAAACACACAGCCACCCCACACACGCACAUCCCCGGCCAACGUGGCGCAACCCCGUGGGAGCCAGCAGGGCUGGCCGUGGGCGUUCUGUAGGACAGCAAUGGGGACGCGGGGUCUGGGCAGCAGAAAGCCCAAGAGGACAGCGUCCCAAAGACAGCAAUCGGAGAGAGUGGGACAUCUGGGAUCCCCGUGGCUGCCGGAAGGAAGCAGAGGGGCUGGGUGGGGAAAUGGGGCAGUGGCAGCGCUUGCACCACCGGCCCCCUUUUGGGGAAUCCGGCCUUGCUGCAGCCCUGACGAGAGCUCACGUCAUCCACUGGUGGCCGUGGGGCAGCCCCAGUGUGUCAGCCUGGCCAGCGCACGAGAGCCAAACCCCGAACAUCACCCCCCUCUGUGCACCACAGUGGCCCCAAAGCAUCGCCCUGCCAGGCCCCACACCGAUCCCAAAGCAUCGCCCUGCUUGGCCCCACACCGAUCCCAAAGCAUCGCCCUGCCAGGCCCCACACCGAUCCCAAAGCAUCGCCCUGCCAGGCCCCACACCGAUCCCAAAGCAUCGCCCUGCCAGGCCCCACACCGAUCCCAAAGCAUCGCCCUGCUAGGCCCCACACCGAUCCCAAAGCAUCUCUCUGCU